This 2327-nucleotide ribosomal RNA is filed under the name Stephonyx sp. CCZ 220. RNAcentral's name for it is "partial small subunit ribosomal RNA". It matches the Rfam family "Eukaryotic small subunit ribosomal RNA". The record is from RNAcentral. Lineage: Eukaryota; Metazoa; Arthropoda; Malacostraca; Amphipoda; Uristidae.
GUUUACAUGGCGAGACCGCGGACGGCUCAUUAAAUCAGUCUUGGUCCAUAUGGGCUAGAAUUUAUCUUACUUGGAUAACUGUGGUAAUUCCAGAGCUAAUACAUGCAACACUUAUCCAGACGUGGUGGAGGCGCUUCGGUGUCUUCACGCUGAUGGAUGCUUUUAUUAGACCAAACCGCUGAGUGCGUGGCUUCCGCCACGUAUGACUCGUUCAAUGGUGACUCUGAAUAACCUUUCUGACAAGCGAACGUACCCCUCGUUGGGACGGCGCUGCCACUUUCGAGUGUCUGCCUUAUCAGCUAUCAACCGUUCGUUAUGUGCGACCGAUGGCUUUGACGGGUAACGGGGAAUCAGAGUUCGAUUCCGGAGAGGCAGCCUGAGAGACGGCUACCACGUCCAAGGACGGCAGCAGGCACGCAAAUUACCCAAUCCCAGCUCCUGGGGGAGGUAGUGACGAAAUCUAACGAUGCGGGCGCCCUUUCUGGGGCCCCGCAAUCGGAAUGGCCACUUUCUAAACAACCUGUUGAGAACCUACUGAAGGGCAAGUCUGGUGCCAGCAGCCGCGGUAAUUCCAGCUUCAGUAGCAUCUAUUAAAGUUGCUGCGGUUAAAAGGCUCGCAGUUGAAUGUCAGUAUCGAGCGCAGGUCAGGUGGACGCUGGGGGCGUGAGAAUUCACGGCGUGUUCUCGCGUGUGCUGGUUUUUGGGCGGUGCGCAUUCGUGCGUGUCGUUUUCCUUUUCUGGUGUGCGUGUGCUUCGCGUCUCUCACAAGCCCCCGUCCGUGACAAGCCUCCUCGCUUGUUUACAUAACGGAAUCUGUUAAACGGAGUGUGCGUUGCAGUGGCUCAUCUUCCUCGUGCGUUAGCGCGCUUGCACACGCGCGUCUAUAUAUAUGCUUGCAUUUCUGUGCGGUGUGUGUGUUGCGUGUUACGAUGCUUGCGUAUGCGGCGUGCGGCAGGGGAGUUGCGGUUAAUCUCUCGCACGUUAAGCUCCAUCGUUUCUAUGGUCACCUUGAGUAAAUCAGAGUGCUUAAAGCAGUCGUAGGGGCCUUGUGCCCUGUGAACAGUCUUGACGGACUGACUUGGUUUUGCAUGGUAUGUCGGAAGACGACGUCUAGCGCUGGCUCAGAGAAAUACUUAUCAGUGGUGUAAGCCAGCCUAGACGUACUGAUUAACAGGGACAGUCGAGGGCAUUGGUAUUGCGAGGCGAGAGGUGAAAUUCUAUGACCCCCGCAAGACCUCCUGAAGCGAAAGCGUCUGCCAAGGAUGUUUUCAUUAAUCAUGAACGAAAGUUAGAGGAUCGAAGGCGAUCAGAUACCGCCCUAGUUCUAACCCUAAACGAUGCCAACCAUCAAUCCGCGCGUAGCACCCUUCUUAACGGGCUCGGCGGGCAGCUCCUCACUCACGGGAAACCAGAGUCUCUGGGUUCCGGGGGGAGUCUGGUUGCAAAGCUGAAACUUAAAGGAAUUGACGGAAAGGCACCACCAGGCGUGGAGCCUGCGGCUUAAUUUGACUCAACACGGGCCAUCUCACCAGGCCAGCACUCUUGUACGAUUGACAGAUUGAGAGCUCUUUCUCGAUUUAGUGGAUGGUGGUGCAUGGCCGUUCUUAGUUGGUGGAGUGAUCUGUCUGGUUAAUUCCGAUAACGAACGAGACUCUCCCCUGCUAACUAGUCGGUUGGAUCUUGAUAUUUGUAUCGGUUGAGUCGUGUACCGAGAUAACCGGUUGUUUUGCGCGCGCGUUCUGCGCUUUCUGGUCGAGAUCUGUGGUGUGGGAUCGUGUGGUUAGUGUGCGUGUGUGUGCGCGCAUGUGUCUCGCUAGCGCGAGCGCGUGUGUGUGUGUGCGCGUGUGCGCCCGCUUUCUUUGCUCUGCUCCUUGGCUGGGGCCAGUCGUGUGUGUGAUCUUCUGGCCUCGGACCACACACUCCAAGUCCGCCGCUUAUGCUUAAAACUCUUCUUAGAGGGAUUCACGGUACUGAAGCCGUAAGAGACUGAGAGCAAUAACAGGUCUGUGAUGCCCUUAGAUGUUCUGGGCCGCACGCGCGCUACAAUGCCGGGCACAGCAGGUGUUCUUCCUACUCCGACAGGAGCGGGUAACCCUGUGAAAGCCCUUUCUUAUGGUUUCAAGUUGGUUUGUGGCUCACGUCACAUCCAACGUAUGGCGUGAUUGGGCCUGGGUCUUGCAAUUCUUUCCCACAAACGAGGAAUGCCUUGUAGCGGCGGGUCACUGAGCCCGCCGUGACUCAGUCCCUGCCCUUUGUACACACCGCCCGUCGCUACUACCGAUUGGGUGUACCAGUGAGAGCCUUGGACUGGCGUCCGUUGCUCUAAC